UAUCUAAAAAAAUAAAUUGUUCAAUUAAAAAUAAUGAGUAAAACAAUAAUAAUAAUAAUAAUAAUCUAAAAUAAAAUAAGUAAUAAAUAAAUAAAUAAUCAAAAUAGAAAAUAGAAUGGAAAAAGAAAAACAAAUUUCUACAAUCGAGUCGGUUCUGUACAUGGGUGAUGCGUAGGUCACCAAGUCACGUAGUUCAAGGGUCAGUUUGAUAUAAAAGCCCAAAUUCUUUUGUUGCUCUUCAGAGAUACCCAACUCCCUCUCUCUCUAAAAUGUUCUCUCUCUAAUUUUUCUCUAGGAACACUGGGAACUUCAAGCCAAUUUCCAGAAAACGAUGAAAAACCUAGAAAAUGAUGGGACUUUUAGAUUCUAAUCCUCGUAAACUUCAAGCUUCAACUGAAAAAUUCAAGCAACUUUCCAAAAAAAAAACCAAGAAAAAAAUUUCCAAAAAUCUCCGAGAAAUCCAAAAAAAUCACUUAGUCAGAAAUCCAAUACCAUUGAAACACUCAACCCAAAAACCUAAUCAAAAUUUCAAGAUCAAAUAUGGUUCAAAAAUAAAAAUCCCAUAAUAGUACUUAAAACCCAAAAAUCUUUCACACCAAAAAAAUGCUAUGAUCUUUUUAUCAAAUUUCUCAAUUCUCUUUAUACGUUUCUGUAUGGUAUUAGGCACAAUUUAUAGAAUUUUUUACCAAAAAUCUUAGGAAUUUCUUAUUCAAUAACAAAGAUUGGAUGUCAAAUACAGAUUAAAUCUCCUCUUGAUUUUUUUCCCAAAAAAUAGUUCAAUCAUCAAUAUCAUUUCUCGUGAUUUAGUUUCUUGUUUUAUACAAGCUUGAUUUAUGUGAUUGAAUCCCUGAACCAGAUCGUAAAUUCUUUAUCUUUUUAUUUAUUUUUAGUUUUUUAUUAAAAAAAAUAAAAUAAAUAAACAAAUAAUAUCAACCGGUUAAGUAUAGUCUUGGUUUCUCUUCAUUUUUCAUUUACUUCUUUGAUUUUCGAAUAAAAAAUUAUUAUAAGCUGUAUAUCCCAUGUUUAGUUACUAGCUAUAAAUCUACACUAAGAAUUUUUAAUUUACCCUUAAAUUCCCUCCCACACCUUGCUACUUAAUAAAAAAGUAGCAAUUUUUUUAAAUUUCUAUUUUAUCCUUAAAUUUUUUAUCCUAAUUAAUUAAAAAAGAUAUUAAAUACAUAAAUUUUCUCAAAUCCAUAAUCUUCAAAUGCAAAAUCCAAUAACAUAUUAACUAAUUCAAGAGAUAAUAAACUAUUCCUUUAACAAUUAGUAGAAGUAUUUAGUUUUUUUUUUUUUUCUUGUUGAUCAUAGCCUUAAUUUCCCAAAUUUUUUUCACUUGUUUAACUAGACGUUAAUCAUGUGUUUCUGGGAAUAACACAAGCCUGUGUCUGACGCUAUCUAAAUAAAAAAUAAGGUGAG
This 1419-nucleotide long non-coding RNA is filed under the name Durio zibethinus. Its description in RNAcentral is "long non-coding RNA (DZIB_LNC000141)". Lineage: Eukaryota; Viridiplantae; Streptophyta; Magnoliopsida; Malvales; Malvaceae. The record is from RNAcentral.